ACUCCUACGGGAGGCAGCAGUGGGGAAUAUUGCACAAUGGGCGAAAGCCUGAUGCAGCAACGCCGCGUGAGGGAUGACGGCCUUCGGGUUGUAAACCUUUUUUAGUAAGGAAGAAGAAGUGACGGUACUUGCAGAAAAAGCACCGGCUAACUACGUGCCAGCAGCCGCGGUAAUACGUAGGGUGCAAGCGUUGUCCGGAAUUAUUGGGCGUAAAGAGCUCGUAGGCGGUUUGUCGCGUCUGCUGUGAAAACCGGAGGCUCAACCUCCGGCCUGCAGUGGGUACGGGCAGACUAGAGUGCGGUAGGGGAGAUUGGAAUUCCUGGUGUAGCGGUGGAAUGCGCAGAUAUCAGGAGGAACACCGAUGGCGAAGGCAGAUCUCUGGGCCGUAACUGACGCUGAGGAGCGAAAGCAUGGGGAGCGAACAGGAUUAGAUACCCUGGUAGUCCAUGCCGUAAACGUUGGGAACUAGAUGUAGGGGCCAUUCCACGGUUUCUGUGUCGCAGCUAACGCAUUAAGUUCCCCGCCUGGGGAGUACGGCCGCAAGGCUAAAACUCAAAGGAAUUGACGGGGGCCCGCACAAGCGGCGGAGCAUGCGGAUUAAUUCGAUGCAACGCGAAGAACCUUACCAAGGCUUGACAUGAACGAGAACGGGCCAGAAAUGGUCAACUCUUUGGACUCGUUUACAGGUGGUGCAUGGUUGUCGUCAGCUCGUGUCGUGAGAUGUUGGGUUAAGUCCCGCAACGAGCGCAACCCUCGUUCUAUGUUGCCAGCACGUUAUGGUGGGAACUCAUAGGAGACUGCCGGGGUCAACUCGGA
Molecule: ribosomal RNA, 816 nt
Filed under: uncultured Actinomycetes bacterium
Lineage: Bacteria; Bacillati; Actinomycetota; Actinomycetes
Description: bacterial SSU rRNA
Rfam family: Bacterial small subunit ribosomal RNA
Source: RNAcentral